RNAcentral lists this ribosomal RNA (253 nucleotides) under uncultured bacterium. RNAcentral's name for it is "partial 16S ribosomal RNA". It matches the Rfam family "Bacterial small subunit ribosomal RNA", at positions 524 to 776 of the family's 1533-position model. The record is from RNAcentral.
UACGAGGGGGGCGAGCGUUGUUCGGAAUUAUUGGGCGUAAAGGGUGCGUAGGCGGUUUGGUAAGUCUGAUGUGAAAGCCCACGGCUCAACCGUGGAGGGUCAUUGGAAACUGGGAGACUUGAGUGCAGAAGAGGAAAGUGGAAUUCCAUGUGUAGCGGUGAAAUGCGUAGAGAUAUGGAGGAACACCAGUGGCGAAGGCGACUUUCUGGUCUGUAACUGACACUGAGGCGCGAAAGCGUGGGGAGCAAACAGG